AAGAUCUUCCCAGUACAUUGCUGUGUGAGUGUUGUGUCUGCAGCCCCAACUGCCUGCCCAAGGAAAAGCAGUGAUGACCGUGCAGGCGGAAGCACAGACCUUUAUAAGAGUAGCCAGGUCACUUCUUCAGAAGAUUCUUCACCCAUCCCCAAGCCCUGGUUGUUCUUCAUCCUUGGAGUUACAAGCCUGGAAGAAAUAGCCUUAUUUUAAUUAUUCAAUUUUGGAAAUUUCCACAGGCUAACUUUUAACCAGAAGAUCUUGAUCCUAAAAACUCUUAUCCAGAAUAAACUGUUCUGGCAUUAUCCAAUCUGAGUCUUUAUACUAUGUAAGGUCUCUAAGGGGCCCUUUCUGGACUAGCAGCAUCAUAAAUAGCAUAAAAAUAAUAAGGCCCAUGCAUGUAGAAGCAAUUCUGGGGAUUCUAAGAAGACAAAGUCCCUCAAGUCCCUUCCUACAUCCUUAGUGGCCUCUGAAUUACUGCCCUCUGUCUAAGGGUGAGUGGGGCUUACCCUCUGCUUAGCCUCCACGGGAAGAGAAAGAUUGUAUUUGUGUUUUCACGCUGCUAAUAAAGACAUACCUGAGA
Molecule: long non-coding RNA, 580 nt
Organism: Homo sapiens (human)
Lineage: Eukaryota; Metazoa; Chordata; Mammalia; Primates; Hominidae
Exons: 2
Source: RefSeq, a predicted model, not a curated record